Molecule: long non-coding RNA, 1030 nt
Organism: Hipposideros armiger (great roundleaf bat)
Lineage: Eukaryota; Metazoa; Chordata; Mammalia; Chiroptera; Hipposideridae
Exons: 3
Source: RefSeq, a predicted model, not a curated record
CCUGACCCAGAACUCCUCCAGAGCGUUUUUAACAGGAAACUAAAGACAAAACAUGGAGGCCACCUGCCUGCCCUGCUAAUGGUGACCCUCAGGAUAACCCACCAGUAUGAAUCAGAGCUGUGAUGACAGAUGCUUGUGGGUCCAUGAAGACAAGUUUGAAGUCGUUCGUCUUUGAGCUCUGUACAGUGUCUGUGCUCUUUGGAAAAGAUGUCUCAUUUUGCAGUUAUUAUGCAUCUGGACCUUGAGGAGUCUUCUUCAGAUGGUUUUCCAUCCUCCAUGUGAUGCGGGAGACCCAGGUGAGAGGCACUGUCACCACAGGAAGACAGAAUUUGGAUGGGAAGCUUUCCACCCAAGCAUUCAUGCACCAGGACUCCGGAGGAUGUUCUUUAGAGCUGCAUUUCCAGGGUAUUUGAAUAGACUCUUAGAAUAACCACCACUGAAGCUGUACUCAGGAGGCCAGAUUGAGGAAGAAAAGCUCAGCUUAGCCCCAGCUCUAACCUCCAAGCUCUGCCUUAUCAAGGAGUCCAACACCUCUAAAACAGAAAAGCAAAACCCCAGCCUGAGAAGAACCCCACCACCACCCUGCCACUUCCAUCCUCAUCUACCCCAGCUUUCCAUCUGUUAAAAAUAAACAAAGGAAUGUCAUUUAAUAUGGAGCUGGGAAGCCCUGGAGGGGAAGCUCUCAGGCACUGCCGCCCAGACGGGGAACAGGAGGACAUACCACAACAGAAGGAAGGAAGAAUUUCUCCUUGCCCGGCGAAACACCUUCACUGUGGUCAGUCCUUGCCUGAACCUCUCUAGCUGGUUGACCUCAGGAUUGGGCUCCUGGUUACUGUCCAGCCAAUGAGAAAUGGCCACGCUCAGCCAGCGAGAAGCCAUUACCACCCUGAAUUCUUCGAACACCCCUUUCAACUUCCUCUUUUUCCCUAUAAGAGCAAGCCCCUCUUUUCUGUUCUUCAGACUGGCCUAUGGUUCACCAUAGCUCGCUUGUCCUGAAUUGCAAUUCCUCUGCUAUUUCCGAAUAAACCCA